This 253-nucleotide unclassified non-coding RNA is filed under the name plant metagenome. Its description in RNAcentral is "partial contains small subunit ribosomal RNA, internal transcribed spacer 1, and 5.8S ribosomal RNA". The stretch from base 205 to 253 matches the Rfam family "5.8S ribosomal RNA", at positions 1 to 49 of the family's 154-position model. The record is from RNAcentral.
UUUCCGUAGGUGAACCUGCGGAAGGAUCAUUAUUGGGUUUUGAAACUUCAGGCUGCUGCUGGCUCUCCUCGGAGGGCAUGUGCACGCUUGUUGUCCAUUAUUUCUCCCACUGUGCACAAAUUGUAGACCUUUCAGUAGGCCUAUGUUGUUUUUCACAAUCUCUGAAUGUAAUAGAAUGGUUUUGAAUCUUGGGAAAUACAAUACAACUUUCAGCAACGGAUCUCUUGGCUCUCGCAUCGAUGUAGAACGCAGC